AGAACGAACGCUGGCGGCAGGCUUAACACAUGCAAGUCGAACGGUUGUAGCAAUACAGCAGUGGCAGACGGGUGAGUAACACGUGGGAACCUUCCUAGGGGUACGGAACAACUCAGGGAAACUUGAGCUAAUACCGUAUACGUCCGUGAGGAGAAAGAUUUAUCGCCCCUAGACCGGGCCCGCGUAGGAUUAGGUAGUUGGUGAGGUAACGGCUCACCAAGCCUACGAUCCUUAGCUGAUCUGAGAGGAUGAUCAGCCACACUGGGACUGAGACGACCGGCCCAGACU
RNAcentral lists this ribosomal RNA (288 nucleotides) under uncultured soil bacterium. RNAcentral's name for it is "partial 16S ribosomal RNA". It matches the Rfam family "Bacterial small subunit ribosomal RNA", at positions 26 to 337 of the family's 1533-position model. The record is from RNAcentral.